GGCUGCCUGGGUCCCUAGGGCGCGCGCCCUCGGCCUGCCCGGCCCGGGCCCUCCCGCCGGCUCCACCUGCGCGCUGGGUCUCGGGAUGUGCCCGUCCGAGAUGGGGACGCUGUGGCACGUGUGGUCUCCCGUGCUCAUCGGCCUGGCCGCCCUUUCCUCCGAAGUGACCGAGAGCCGGGGCAUCCUUGAGAGCAUCCAGAGGUUCUCCCUGCUGCCCACCUACCUGCCGGUCACCUACCACAUCAACAACGCCGACGUGUCCUUCUUCCUGAAGGAGGCCAACCAGGACAUCAUGCGCAACUCCAGCCUGCAGUCCAGGGUCGAGUCCUUCCUCAUCUACAAAUCCAAGCAGCUGCCGGCGCUCAACGCCAGCUAUGGGCCCUUCUCCAUCGAGCAAGUGGUGCCCCAGGACCUGCUGCUGCCCGCCAACCCCUUCGGCUUCACCAACACGUUUUCCCUGAACUGGAAGCUGAAGGCCUCCAUCCUGCGGGAGAAGAUCUACCCCAGCCGUCCCAAGGUGCAGGUCCUCUUCCACCUGGUAGGCCGGGACUGGGACGACGCGCGGCCUGCGGAGAGGCUGCCCUGCCUGCGCGUCUUCGCCUUCCGGGAGACCCGGGAGGUGCGGGGCAGCUGCCGGCUCGCCGGGGACCUGGGCCUGUGCGUGGCGGAGCUGGAGGUCCCGGCCGCGUGGUUCAGUGCCCCGACGGUGGUUGCCGGGAGGAGGAAGGCCGCGGAGCAGCCCGAGGGCAGCCCGGUGGAGCUGUACUACUCCAUGCAGCCGGGGGACGCGCGUUGGGACUGCGCCCAGGAGGACCGGUGGAGGACCGACGGCAUUCGGACAGGUCACAAUGACAUCGAUGAGUCUGGGCCGCCCUUGCACAGAAUCGGGAGUGUCUUCCUCUACCAGACCCACGGCAGCCCCACCCUGAAGGAGCUGCGACUGGACAGCAAUGUCGCCGUGCACUACGUCCCCAAGACGGCUCGACAGGGCGACGUGCUCACCUUCCCCAUCUUGGUCUCGAGAAACUGUACAGAGGACCGUUUUACGCUGAGGGCCAAGGUGAAGAAAGGCGUGAGCAUUGCCGGGGUGAGGGCCAGCAGCCCCUCCAUCUGGGACGUCAAGGAGAGCUCGGAGUCCGCCGGGAAGUACGCACCCGCUGUCAUAGUGUGUCACAAGAAAUCUGCUGCCUCGGCAAACGGAGUGUUCCCGGCAGUCAUGGGGCUCAUCGGUUCUCCUGACACCCAGAACCGACCCACACAAGCUUCGGUAGCCACAGCGGCACGAAGCUACCACAGUGAGCGGCCCCGCUCCUGGGCAUGCGGAGCCUGCUGAUGGCCUGAGAGUCCCUGUGACCUCCUCCCGCCUGGGGAUUGUCACAGAUGCACAUGGGACCACUGGACCCAGUGUGCCCCAAAGAGCUCGGAAGAACAUGGGCGUGACCUCGGGAGCCCUUCGGGCCCUCGCAGUCCCCCGAUCUGUGGUGGCCAGCAGAAGGACGCCCCCUCCUGAGAGCCCACGCUGCCCUCGCUGUGAGGCCAUCAAGAGCACCGGGAGGAGGAGAUGCUGACUCCGGUGAGGCUGUCGCCCGUGCGAGCCGCCCCGACCACCCUUUACCCUCAGAUCCACGUUUGAUUCCCCAGGGUCCCAGACAAGAGCAGGACUGAGGCAGCACUGGGGGCGUCCCCAUUUGUGUAUUUCUUAACAAGGCCCCCAAAGGCGUCAUUUUGGACAAAUCCCAAGUUGACCCCGCAGCGGUGGGAUAAGGAGGUGGAACUGGGGGACUCUGACGCUGGGGAACCCGAGGUCAGAGGCAGGACGCCGCCACGGGCGCCGUGGGGCCAGUGUGGGAGUGGUUGCAGAGGGAACUGAGUGUAGUCCACACAGCUCGUGGUCCACGCGGGUCCCUGUCGCCUCCGCUGGGGACAUGUGGGCCCAGGUGUUGGCAGCUGUCCUUCGAGCCUACAGCGCCACCGUGAGGGGAAGCAGAAGCCCAGGCUUGGAUGAGUCUCCCCUGGGCGGCUUCUUUCCCCCUUCCCAGCUCUCCGCGCACUGCGCAGACUGGAGCGUGAGCCUGCCCUGACUCCCGGGCGCUGGCUGCGAUGUUACAUCCGCGCAGCUGAGCCGCGUGCUCCUGUGCAGCGCACUUUGACGGGCUCACGACAUGUGCCAGCUGGGCGGAGCCUUCUCCUCGGGGGCCUCUGCAUCUCCGGCCCCCAGGGUCAGAAAUGUGUGCGGUGCCGGGUCCUAGUGGAGUCUUAGCUCUGGAGUUGUAAAGUUUACGCUCUGCAAUGAACCAGGUUAAGCAGGUGGUGGUGAGCUUUAGGGCCUGAGCUUGGUUUAUCUCGGUCUGGUCUCCUCCGUCACCAGGAAGCCUCCUUUUGCCCACUUGGACUGAAUUCUUUCUCCAUCUGGGGCACAGUCUUCUCUUUUUGUUUGUCUAGUUUAGCUUUUUCCAUAAUUGCCCCAAACUAGAGAUAAACCGAUAUCCCUAACCCAGUGAGCAGAUGAACAAGCUGCCCCCUCCCAGCCAUGGAAUACAACUCACCAAAGAAAAAGAGCAGGCUACUCAUUCGAAAACACGCAAAGCCCCAGCAAGUGCGCUGAGCGGAAGAGGCCAGACACAGCGGACGCCGUGUUGUUAUGACUGCAUUUUUAAACAAUCUGGAGUUCUCCACAGAAUGGAUUUUUGCUUCUCACUGGGAUCAUCUAAAUGAUCCACAACCUGAUUACUUUUUUCUUUCCGAAUUACUCUUAUUUUCCUUUUUAAAAUGUACAAAUUCUCUCUUUUGCAAGUCUUUAAAAGCUCUUUCUUCUCGAAGGAGCCCUUAGCUUCAACUUAAGUGCUUCAUGGUCAGAGGCAGAAGAAACGAUGUAUUAGUCAGCCCCCUCUUAGUGCAAGGAGCACCGGGGCGUUUUCAGCUCACUGCUUUGAAGACGUUUGUUUCUCUAAGCAAAAGAUCCCGAUCAAUAAACACCGGUGGCCCUGG
Long non-coding RNA from Chinchilla lanigera (long-tailed chinchilla), 2988 nucleotides. The record is from Ensembl. NCBI's taxonomy places the organism in Eukaryota, Metazoa, Chordata, Mammalia, Rodentia, Chinchillidae.